CAGGGAGAGAAGCCAGUUGCUGGUCCUAAAUCCUUUCCACUCACUUCUGUGGCUGGUGCCAGAGAGCACUCCCCAUAGAACUGUGAGCCGAGCAUUGGCAGGUGCCAUGCCUUGCCCAUCGGGAUCGGAUGCAUUGGUUUUCUUCGUGAACGGGAGGAAGGUGACAGAAAGAAAUGCAGACCCAGAAGUGACUCUGCUGACCUUCCUACGAAAAAACUGAACCCUUUUUAGCUAAGUCCUGGCUGUGUCUGUUCCUUAAAAAUCAAGCCAUGUGACCAUGGGAACUGAUCACUUCCUCCAUCCAGUUGGCCCUUGGCCCUUGCUAUUUGUUUUUGGUCAUGGUUUUAAGUUGGAUCUCAGGUGAAGGAGGCUAGUUUGGAGAGGAAGAAUUUUCCCAGAGGUGCUUAUAUUUAAUAGCAUGAAAUAGAAACUAAGCUCUUCAUUUCCUCACGAAAUAGUCCCUGGAGGGCUUUGCAGGUCCCCAGCAGAGUGUCAUGUAAUAGAAGUCCUGUUACCUGCCCCUUCAUGAAACCAAAUUCUCCAGAAUCAGUGAGACAGUGUCAGAGGAAAAGAUUUUCUUUCCCUAUACCUGCUUUCUGACACCAGACUCCUCCAACCCCAUUUUAUAUUCUGGAAUCUAGAUCUUCAUAAUGGCCAACAUAUUUUAAUGGGCAAAUCUAAUGGAUCUCUUGGAAUUGCCAGAAAAAUUAAAAUAAUUGAGAGAAAUUUCAAAUUGAUUAAAUUGGCCUCUACAAUAUUGUUUAUAAGCCCACAAGCUCACAUGGUUUAUAAUUAGUUGUCAAUAUUUGAAAAUUAGGGAAUUCCAUGUUUUAAAACAAAACUCAAGAUUUUCAGCUUCUCAUUGUGACUGGGAAACUGGCCAGUCCUGCGUGUCAAUAGUCUUGCUUAGAGCUCAGUAGGGACUGUUCCCUUUGAGUUCAGGCUCUCCAGUCACACCCUUGCCACUGUAUUUAUUUGUGUGACAUCUCUGGUUAAGCAUUUGAGGCCAUGUUUUAAUUCAGAGUAAUAAACCCUAUCAUUAGGAAAAAAUAGAUAAUAACAAUAAAGACUCAGUGAUUCUGAAGUGUUUUUAGCCAGUCUAGUCAAUUACAUCCAGUUCCAUAAAGUGUGUGAAACAGAUCACAGGGAAAAGGAUGAAUGCGGCUGGGCCUAGAUUCAGGAUCAGACUUGGACCAAUCCAGGGGUGCUCAAGGAAAAAAUAAAAAAGUAAAGACAGGAGUUUCCUCUGAAGAUUCCUUGUUUUUAAAUACAAGCUACUGAGCAAAACUCAUAAUACGUUUUCUAAAAAUAAAGUUCUUCUCCUCCAAUUAUAUGAUUGGAGCCCAGAGGAAGACAUAUAAGAAUACUCUAUAAUGAAAUAGGAUUUUUCAAAGUUUUUACAUCAUUAUCCCAUGAUAUGCUUGUGAUAAACCUGUGACAAUAAAGUAGAUAUUAUGCCUCCUUCUGUGUAAAUUAGAAAAUAGGCAAGAAAAAAUUAAGUAUGGCCCAUGUCACAUAGCUAAUAAGGUAUGGAGUGGCCUUUAAUAAGACCUGGAAGUAAGAACAUGACUUCAGAGACCUGCAGCUCACCCCACAAAGACCUUUAGCAACACCCUAGGGAAGCAGUUAGCUAUGGCUAGAUGCAAAAUGUUCCCCUUGGCAACUUUUCCUUCAUCACCCCGACCUCCAGUAGGCCUUACAGGAACCAAGUAUGCCUGUGGAAGAGGAAGCUGUGGAGCCUGCACGGUGAUGGUGUCUAAGCACGAUCCAGUAUCCAAGAAGAUAAGACACUUCUCCAUCACUGCAUGCCUGGUGCCCAUCUGCUCUCUGUAUGGAACCGCUGUCACCACCGUGGAAGGCAUUGGAAGC
Ictidomys tridecemlineatus (thirteen-lined ground squirrel) is the source of this 1869-nucleotide non-coding RNA. The record is from RefSeq and is a predicted model, not a curated record. Lineage: Eukaryota; Metazoa; Chordata; Mammalia; Rodentia; Sciuridae.